GGAAUUGCAGGAAGGAGGCAUUCAGAUCAUGCCACAGCUAUUCUGUCACUGAUGCAGCGAUAGGGAAGAGGAUAUUGAACUUCUCCGAGCUGCCCUACUGCUCGAGCGGCAAGACAGACCUCUGAUCUUCUCAACCAUGAGCCUUGGGGCACCUUUCAUAGUUUUUGUGCUACUUGGAACGGGCUGUCAACAAUGACACCCAACUGCAUUUGGUUUGCCGAUCUUGGCUGCUAAGUCUGGAUCAUGGACUUGAGUUGCACCAUGUCGCUGGUCGCCAUUGGUGAAUACGUUAGAAUUUGCUGUUGCCAUGGGUGCUAUGACCAAGGGAAACUGUGGUUUGCUGUUCCCUGACGAGUAUGGAUGCACCCAAUAAAAUCAGAAAACAAAAUGCCUCGGAGUGUUCAGGAUAACUCUCCAUCUCCAAUCUACAAAGUG
Molecule: long non-coding RNA, 435 nt
Filed under: Phoenix dactylifera (date palm)
Lineage: Eukaryota; Viridiplantae; Streptophyta; Magnoliopsida; Arecales; Arecaceae
Description: long non-coding RNA (PDAC_LNC021644)
Source: RNAcentral